AACCCCUGACCAGGCUGAGGACUCCUGGAUUGCAGAACUGUUCCGGUCUGAUCUAAAUCCCUGACCUGGAUCGGAUCCCUGCCUGCUCACUGCUGCAUUGGAGACACUUGGAUGGCUCAGAGCCGCAUCUCGUCGGCAGUGCAUCCUGCCUAUGAUUGAGAGGAUGGACUGAACUGAUAAACCAGAAGCAGGCUGUGGAUCCGUGGUAUCAGCGGCUAGGACGCGGCACCACUAAUCACUGGAAACUCUGGUUUAAGAAAAACACUGGUAAGCGACCAUGAUUAUCUGAUGGAGAAUGAUUAUCCAUAUGAGUCACAUACUGGGUUUAACAGUUCAGUCCAUCUCCAUAGAACGAGGUAGGAUCCAGCCAGUGGGCUGCCAAGAAGAUGCCAUGGGCGUUGUCCAAAUUUUCCCAGAUGCUGCAGCCCCAGAGAACAAGCAGGAGUCCGAGCCAUACCAGGGAAACUGAUCAGAACAGGAAGGCUCAGAGGUCCAGGAGUCUGGUCAGGGAUACCGAUCAGAAUAGGAACAGGCUGCUCCAGGGUUCCAGCAGUCCACAGACAGUUCAGGAAGAAUGUUCAGAUUGGAACACGCAGGCUCAGUAGCAUGCCAAGGAGAGGUGGACAGGAGGUGUGACAGAUUGGUUCUGCCUUCCAACUUUUAAGAAAAGGUAGAAACAUCUGAAGCUGGAAACAGAAUAACCUUCAAACUAAAGCCCAUAUGAAGUCCAAAAUGAAUGGAAGAAUGUGUGUUUAUUGUAUUUUAAAUACAACUAAUAUACUUAUGAAGAAUUUGCAAUGAUAUGCAUCCUACAUUUUCGCUUUUUCAGCCCUAAUUAGUAGGGUUUAUUUUUUAAGUUCUCGUUGCUAAGCCAUUUUAGCUCAUGACUUUUUAAAGUGUCACCUGUAGCAUAGCUUUUUCACUAUUAAAAUGAAUAGUGGGCUCUUGA
This is a long non-coding RNA of Cyprinodon variegatus (sheepshead minnow), 949 nucleotides long. RefSeq lists it as uncharacterized. The record is from RefSeq and is a predicted model, not a curated record. The transcript has 3 exons. NCBI's taxonomy places the organism in Eukaryota, Metazoa, Chordata, Actinopteri, Cyprinodontiformes, Cyprinodontidae.